This 369-nucleotide ribosomal RNA is filed under the name Triticum aestivum (bread wheat). Its description in RNAcentral is "partial small subunit ribosomal RNA". Lineage: Eukaryota; Viridiplantae; Streptophyta; Magnoliopsida; Poales; Poaceae. The record is from RNAcentral.
AUGUCGAUCGUCGCUCCGUGUUCGCAAAGUCAGACGUGGUGCCGGAAUGGGUCCCUGACUUCACCGCCACGUGGGCGCUCGAUCGCUCUGUCACCACCUUGGAGACGGCCGCCCGGCACCGCCGUCGCCUUCACGGCAAGCUCGCCAAGAUCGGCGAGGAGUGGUCGCUUAACGACGGCUCCGCCAAUGCCGGUCACGACAUGGCCACCGCCAAGGCUCAGAAGGCUUUGUCAGCAGAGACCGCGGUGGCACUCCAUGCAGUGCAGCAGGAGGCAGAGAGGCUCCUCUGCAAGCGGCAUACAACAGCUGGAUAAGGCUGUCGUGGCCCUCGGCGUCGUACGGUCGCUGGAGGGCCCACGACGGCGAUGA